UACAGAGACUGCAAGCGUUAUUCGGAUUCACUGGGCGUAAAGGGUGCGCAGGCGGCCAAGUGUGUGAGGCGUGAAAGCCCGGGGCUUAACCCCGGAAUUGCACCUCAAACUACAUGGCUAGAGCAUUGGAGAGGGUAGCGGAAUUCACGGUGUAGCAGUGAAAUGCGUAGAUAUCGUGAGGAACACCAGAGGCGAAGGCGGCUACCUGGACAAUUGCUGACGCUCAGGCACGAAGGCCAGGGGAGCAAACGGG
This 253-nucleotide ribosomal RNA is filed under the name uncultured bacterium. Its description in RNAcentral is "partial 16S ribosomal RNA". It matches the Rfam family "Bacterial small subunit ribosomal RNA", at positions 524 to 776 of the family's 1533-position model. The record is from RNAcentral.